AGGACGAACGCUGGCGGCGUGCUUAACACAUGCAAGUCGAGCGGUAAGGCCUUUCGGGGUACACGAGCGGCGAACGGGUGAGUAACACGUGGGUGAUCUGCCCUGCACUUCGGGAUAAGCCUGGGAAACUGGGUCUAAUACCGGAUAUGACCUCAGGUUGCAUGACUUGGGGUGGAAAGAUUUAUCGGUGCAGGAUGGGCCCGCGGCCUAUCAGCUUGUUGGUGGGUAAUGGCCUACAAGGCGACGACGGGUAGCCGACCUGAGAGGGUGACCGGCCACACUGGGACUGAGACACGGCCCAGACUCCUACGGGAGGCAGCGAGGUGGGGAAUAUUGCACAAGUGGGACGAAAGCCUAGAUGCAGCGACGCCGCGUGGAGGAUGGACGGUCCGUUUCGGGUUACGUAAACCCUUCGUUUACAGGUCGAGGGACGAAGGCGUACAAGGUGACGGUACCUGGACAAGGAAGAACGCGAACCGGACUAACGUACGUGACCGAGCCA
This 502-nucleotide ribosomal RNA is filed under the name uncultured soil bacterium. Its description in RNAcentral is "bacterial SSU rRNA". It matches the Rfam family "Bacterial small subunit ribosomal RNA", at positions 26 to 528 of the family's 1533-position model. The record is from RNAcentral.